Molecule: long non-coding RNA, 683 nt
Organism: Drosophila montana
Lineage: Eukaryota; Metazoa; Arthropoda; Insecta; Diptera; Drosophilidae
Exons: 3
Source: RefSeq, a predicted model, not a curated record
AAUGCAGCGUAAAUUCAAAUGAAAUUUAAAUGUUUUUAUUAAAUAAAUACAUUGUAGAUAUAACUAAGCUAAGCUAACUGGAUUGGAGGCUAGGAACUGUUCUGCAAAGGUCUUUACUUCAUUUUUCUGUGCUUUAAAGAAAAGGGUUUACAUCGUCUGUGAUCUUUGAAAUCUAUACACCCCUCUUGAGAGGCCAUGCCCAUUCCUCUCUCCAUUAGGCGGAAAAACCUCUUGAACGGGCGAAAUAUACACAACGAUCGCUGUCCGCGCACGCUAGUUCUCACUGUAACUCUGUUUUUUUCUAUGAAGGGAACCAGGCUAUUAUAAGGAUAUUUGUUACAAGAGCAGCGCAGAAAAGUAUUAAAGCACACAAUUUUAAAGUUGGAAAAGCUUAGCAAGGCGAACAUCCAUCCGAGUCGAGUUGGGCGUUGUGUAUCUGUAUCUAUGAAAGGUAAAUGAACGUGUUUGUGGUUGAAUUCAUUUUCGUCGGGUAAAAGUUGCGUACAUGCUCGGUCUGCGUGUGUGUGUGAGUGUGUGCGUGUGUGUGUGUGCGCGUUUGUGUGUGUGUGUGCGAGUGCGUAUCUAUGUGUGUGCCUGCUGUUGGUUGGCAAUUAAGCCAAUGAAGCAUUAAAAACACCAGCCAAGGGCGUAAGCCAUGCAAAGUGAACUGGCAUCUGGACUGG